Molecule: unclassified non-coding RNA, 234 nt
Filed under: uncultured fungus
Lineage: Eukaryota; Fungi
Description: partial contains 18S rRNA, ITS1, 5.8S rRNA, ITS2 and 28S rRNA
Source: RNAcentral
AAGGAUCAUUACUGAGUAAGGGUUCAUUCAGAGCCCGACCUCCAACCAUUUGUUAAAUUUACCUUUGUUGCUUUGGUAGGCCCGUCUAUUCUUAACGGAAUGGACCGCCGGAGAUCUUUAACCAUCUCUGGCCUGUGCUUGCCAAUAGCCAAACAUAAACCCUUUUUAACGAUGUUGUCUGAUAUCUUAUUAAAAAUCUAAUUAAAACUUUCAACAACGGAUCUCUUGGUUCUG